GCGCAGGGCCAUCGGGGGCCGAACCCAGCGCGCGCACCAACCCACCCGGGCAUAGAGGCAGACCCGCGUUCCGGGGAACCCUCCGCCCAUCUGGCGGGGGCCCCCGGGUGGCGGGUCACGGUUGCAAAUCGGUCAGAAUUUUCACGUAAAGCAUUUCCUCCACCGGCGCGCCCCGGCCGAAGCCAAAGCGCCCGGGGACGGCGCACCGCCGGCGGGCGCGCGCACCGGAGGCGGGCCGCCCCGCCUCCGCUCAAGCAAUCUCGUUCGAUCAAAGUGUUUCACCCACCGGCGCGCCCCGGCCGAAGCCAGGGCGCACCGGAGGCGGGCCGCCCCGCCGCCAUCUCUCUCGCUCAGCGAUCCAGCCGCGAAACCCACCGACCAGCCACAGUGCCCGGAACGAGGCUCCGGUUCGUUCACCCUCGCCACUGUCCGAGGGCGUCCGAAAAUACUGAGGUCUGAGUCGGAUCCGAACCGCACAAACGCCGGUCCUCACUCCUGGAGGCCUAUGUUUCUAAAAACCGGGUUUCAGGAAUCUGCGACCUGGUGGCCCAGUGAUGUCGGCUGGAACUUUUUUUUUCCGGUCCGCUCAAAUUUCUCCAGGCAUUUUCUGAGCUUUCCUUCACAUAUUCCGACUUUUACUUAGUUUCUGACGGAGCCAAAAAAGUCCGGGUUUUUUUGCCCUCCUUAUCGUCCCGACUGGAAACUUUAACUCCGUAUUUUAAGUCAGAAAAUUAAAGUUCUUUUCAUCCAGGAGACCGACCCUUCCUUCAAAGUGUCCCAUACAGUGCUUCGUCAUCGGACAUCGGCCGGGAUCUCCCGCUCUCUGGAACUGUGUAUUCAUC
Molecule: long non-coding RNA, 842 nt
Organism: Gasterosteus aculeatus aculeatus (three-spined stickleback)
Lineage: Eukaryota; Metazoa; Chordata; Actinopteri; Perciformes; Gasterosteidae
Source: Ensembl